RNAcentral lists this ribosomal RNA (532 nucleotides) under Vibrio sp. Its description in RNAcentral is "bacterial SSU rRNA". It matches the Rfam family "Bacterial small subunit ribosomal RNA", at positions 379 to 903 of the family's 1533-position model. Lineage: Bacteria; Pseudomonadati; Pseudomonadota; Gammaproteobacteria; Vibrionales; Vibrionaceae. The record is from RNAcentral.
AAGCCUGAUGCAGCCAUGCCGCGUGUAUGAAGAAGGCCUUCGGGUUGUAAAGUACUUUCAGUUGUGAGGAAGGGGGUAGCGUUAAUAGCGCUGUCUCUUGACGUUAGCAACAGAAGAAGCACCGGCUAACUCCGUGCCAGCAGCCGCGGUAAUACGGAGGGUGCGAGCGUUAAUCGGAAUUACUGGGCGUAAAGCGCAUGCAGGUGGUUCAUUAAGUCAGAUGUGAAAGCCCGGGGCUCAACCUCGGAACUGCAUUUGAAACUGGUGAACUAGAGUACUGUAGAGGGGGGUAGAAUUUCAGGUGUAGCGGUGAAAUGCGUAGAGAUCUGAAGGAAUACCAGUGGCGAAGGCGGCCCCCUGGACAGAUACUGACACUCAGAUGCGAAAGCGUGGGGAGCAAACAGGAUUAGAUACCCUGGUAGUCCACGCCGUAAACGAUGUCUACUUGGAGGUUGUGGCCUUGAGCCGUGGCUUUCGGAGCUAACGCGUUAAGUAGACCGCCUGGGGAGUACGGUCGCAAGAUUAAAACUCA